Molecule: ribosomal RNA, 936 nt
Filed under: Mastigias papua
Lineage: Eukaryota; Metazoa; Cnidaria; Scyphozoa; Rhizostomeae; Mastigiidae
Description: 12S ribosomal RNA
Rfam family: Bacterial small subunit ribosomal RNA
Source: RNAcentral
AAACCCUUUGACUUUUGGGGAAUUUAAAUGCAAUUACUUUUUUAAUACAUGCUAGUAUAAGCGGACAGGUGAGUUAAUCUGUGAAACCAAGCAGAGUGUUACCAGGAUUAUUAUUCAAUAAUUUUAAUAAUUCCUAAGACAACUAGUUUUUCCACACUUUUACUGAAACAAAGAAAAGCAAAUUGCAGCAGUAUAGGAUAUUGUACAAUUAACUUCUGUUAGAUACAGAAAAGUAAUAAGAACUGUCAAAUUGGGUGCCAGCAGACGCGGUUAUACCUAAAGUUCUAGUUUUAUGGUAAAAUAGGCAAAAAGAGUGUGUAUCAUUCAAGAAUUAUUAAAAAGUAAUACAAUAAAUAGUACAGAGAUUAAAUUCAAUAACUCUAUUUAGAAUAUCAUAUUACUAAUUUUUGAGAAACACGAAACAACAGAAAGCCAACGGGAUUAGAUACCCCGGUAACCUGUUGCCUAAAUAAAAGUACAUUCUUAGAGAUAUUAACUCGCCUGAGUAGUAUAAUCUAUUGAUUGAAAUUCAAAAAGUUUGGCUGUUCGUUUUCCAAUUAGAGGAUUGUGUGGUUUAAUAUGAUACUCCGCAUAAAACCUUACCCUACUUUGAUACCCAAGUGCUGCAUGGCCGUCAUUAGUUUGUGUCUAUUAUUCAACAAACAUAAUCUUUUAGAGUUAAAGUCAGGUCGCAUGGCCUUUAUGGUGGGGGAUACAUGCAAUACAAUUUUUAUGAGAAAAAAAACAUAAUAAUGGAUAUAUUUUGAAAAAUUAUUGAAAUAGAAUUUAACAGUAAUCGAAAACUAUAAAGUUUCGGUGAAUAGGUUCAAACGUUAGUACAAAUUGCCCGUCACCUUUUAUAACUAACAAAUAUUUGUUAGAAGUUAAAGCAAGUCGUAACAUAGUGAGGGAAAGGGAACUUUUCCUUGAAUUACC